Molecule: long non-coding RNA, 794 nt
Organism: Homo sapiens (human)
Lineage: Eukaryota; Metazoa; Chordata; Mammalia; Primates; Hominidae
Product: long intergenic non-protein coding RNA 1451
Source: Ensembl
CAGAUUCACAAGCUGAAGCCCUAGCACCCAGGGCCCCAGUGUGCUACUGUGUUUGGAGACAGGUAAAGGUUGUCAAGGUAAGACAGGGUGGCCCUGAUCCAAUAUGACUGGCGUCCUUGUAAGAAGAGGAGAUUGGGACAGACACGCCCCGAGGGAUGGCCAUGUGAGGGCGCCUCAGGAAGACGGUGUGCAAGAGCGGGAAGCGGGGCCUCGGAAGAGCCAGCCCUUGGAUCUCGGGCUUCCAGGAGAAUCAGUUCCUGCAGUUGAAGCCACCAGGGUGCUGUGGCAGGGGCUGGGUCCCUGCUCGACCUUCGGGUGCCGGGGUGUCCCGUAUAAGAGCAGCACAGCCACCGCCACGGCCACUCGCAGUUCCAGGCUCCGGGCAGCAUCUGGGACCCCAGUUCCUGUUGUGAGAGGCUCCCCACUGCCAUCCCACCCCCUGCAAGUAAGCCAGAGAAAAGAAAAUGCCAUUCGGAAAAUCCUAAGGAAGAGAGGAUGCAUUUCCUCGUCUCCACGUGGAAGCGGAUCACCCUAAAGGUCUUCAUCCUGGUCUUUUUCAUGCUGAGGAGGCUGGGGAGGAGAAGGAAGAGGAGGGGCUGGUCUUGCUGACCCAGGAGCAGCAGAGAAAGGAGAAAAUCCACGUGCAGGGGCUGGCCAGCGCUGGGCUUCUCGGGAAUGGAAUCACACACGGACUGUGGCGUACACAUCACAACUUUAAACCCCGUCCGUACUGAAGCCUGCGUCCGAAUUUCUUCUGUUUUUGUGGCGGAAGGAUAAAUAUUCCAUUGUACAGA